Brassica rapa (field mustard) is the source of this 1907-nucleotide long non-coding RNA. RefSeq lists it as uncharacterized. Lineage: Eukaryota; Viridiplantae; Streptophyta; Magnoliopsida; Brassicales; Brassicaceae. The record is from RefSeq and is a predicted model, not a curated record.
UUUUCUUUUAUUAGUGAAAUACUGUAGAUUAGAGUUUUUGAUUUAUAAAUUAGAAAAACAAGAAUAUUUCUAGAUAGAUGAGUAUUUUUUUCUGAGUUUUUCAUCAAUAUGUUGUAGUUUUAAAUAAUUUUCUUAAAAUUUCCUAUUUUUUGAAAGUUUUCAUUUAUUCAAGAAAUACUGUAGAUUUGAGUUUGUGAUUUAGAAAUUAGGAUGACAAGAAUAUUUGUGAAUAGUUGAGUAUUUUUUCAGAGUUUUUUAUCACUAUCUUGUAUUUUAAAAUAAUUUUCUUAAAAACUGCUAUUUUUGGAAAGUUUUCAUUUUUUUAGGAAUAUUGUAGAUUUGAGUUUGUUAUUUAGAAAUUCGGAUAACAAGAAUAUUUGUGGAUAGUUGAGUAUUUUUUCUGAGUUUUUCAUGAAUAGUUUGUAUUUUUAAAUAAUUUUCUUAAAAACUGCUAUUUUUGGAAAGUUUUCAUUGUUUUGAGGAAUAUUGUAGAUUUGAGUUUGUUAUUUAGAAAUUCGAAUAACAAGAAUAUUUGUGGAUAGUUGAGUAUUUUUCUGAGUUUUUCACGAAUAAGUUGUAUUUUUAAAUAAUUUUUUUAAAAACUGCUAUUUUAGGAAAGUUUUCAUUUACUAGAGAUAUACUAUAGAUUAAAGUUUGUGAUUUAGAAAUUAGAAAAACAAGGAUAUUUCUAGAUAGAUGAGUAUUUUUUUCUGAGUUUUUCAUCAAUAUGUUGUAGUUUUAAAUAAUUUUCUUAAAAUUUGCUAUUUUUGUAAAGUUUUCAUUUAUUCAAGAAAUACUGUAGAUUUGAGUUUGUGAUUUAGAAAUUAGGAUGACAAGAAUAUUUCUGAAUAGUUGAGUAUUUUUUCAGAUUUUUCAUCAAUAUGUUGUAGUUUUAAAUAAUUUUCUUAAAAUUUGCUAUUUUUGAAAAGUUUUCAUUUAUUCAAGGAAUACUGUAGAUUUGAGUUUGUGAUUUAGAAAUUAGGAUAACAAGAAUAUUUGUGAAUAGUUGAGUAUUUUUUCAUAGUAUUUCAUCACUAGCUUGUAUUUUCAAAUUAUUUUCUUAAAAACUUCUAUUUUUGGAAAGUUUUCAUUUUUUUAAGAAAAGUUGUGGAUUUGGGUUUGGGGUUUACUAAUUCGGAUAACAAGAAUAUUUGUGGAUAGUUGAGUAUUUUUUCUGAGUUUUUCAUCAAUAUAUUGUAGUUUUAAAUAAUUUUCUUAAAAUUUGCUAUUUUUGUAAAGUUUUCAUUUAUUCAAGAAAUACUGUAGAUUAGAGUUUGUGAUUUAGAAAUUAGGAUGACAAGAAUAUUUGUGAAUAAUUGAGUAUUUUUUCAGAGUUUUUCAUCACUAGCUUGUAUUUUUAAAUAAUUUUCUUAAAAAACUGAUAUUUUUGGAAAGUUUUCAUUUUUUGAGGAAUAUUGUAGAUUUGAGUUUGUGAUUUAGAAAUUAGGAUGACAAGAAUAUUUGUGAAUAGUUGAGUAUUUUUUCAUCACUAUCUUGUAUUUUUAAAUAAUUUUCUUAAAAACUGCUAUUUUUGAAAAGUUUUCAUUUUUUUGAGGAAUAUUGUAGAUUUGGGUUUGUUAUUUAGAAAUUCGGAUAACAAGAAUAUUUGUGGAUAGUUGAAUAUUUUUUCUGAGUUUUUCAUGAAUAGGUUGUAUUUUUGAAUAAUUGUUUAAAAACUGCUAUUUUAGGAAAGUUUUCAUUUACUAGAGAAAUACUGUAAAUUAGAGUUUGUGAUUUAGAAAUUAGAAAAACAAGAAUAUUUCUAGAUAGAUGAGUAUUUUUUCUGAGUUUUUCAUCAAUAUGUUGUAGUUUUAAAUAAUUUUCUUAAAAUUUGCUAUUAGGUUGGAUCGGAUGUCAUUUAUUCAAGAAAUAAUUUAGAUUUGAGUUUGUGAUUUAGAAAUUAGGAU